CCCCGCGUGCCCUACAGCUGAUUCUGGAUGUGCUGAACUCGGAGACCAGUGAGGAUGAGGAUGACCAUGUGGUGGUGAUGGACAAGUCUGAUGAGCAGCGGCUGAAGGUUGCAGAGGAAAAGCACGAGGAUGGUGAGGAGAGCAGAGGCUCAGAGAGUGAAGAUGAAAGCGAUGUUGGGGAGAGCGAGGAGGAGGAGGAGCGUGACAGGAUGUGGACCAGGGCUUCUGGGUACAGCUGAUGAGUGUGCUGCAGGCUGCGAAGGCGCUGGGUGGAGUGGAAAGUGAGGAUGAGGAGGAGCGGGGGAUGAGGCCAUGAUGGUCCUGGACCAGAACCUCGCCAGUCUCUUUGCUGAGCAGAG
This is a non-coding RNA of Callithrix jacchus (white-tufted-ear marmoset), 359 nucleotides long. The record is from RefSeq and is a predicted model, not a curated record. Lineage: Eukaryota; Metazoa; Chordata; Mammalia; Primates; Cebidae.